AGGGCAGGGAAAGCAGGGUCAGAAGUAGUCUUGGCACAUCAGGUGGCAGUUCCCAAGGGGGUUUCUGUGAUCUAACCCGUCAUACCCACUCUCCUAGUACUAGUAUUUGUCUGUAACUAGCCCUGGGUGCUGGGACAAGGGAGAGGAAGGCAAGGAAAGUUUGGAUGGGCUUAGGCAGCCUUGUGAGCUGAUGGCUUUGCCUAAUCAGCAGUUUGGGAAGGCAAGGAUAGUGGAAAAUGAGUGUCCCCAGAGAUGAGCUGCCAAAAUCUUGUUAGGUCCAAGGAAAAUGGAGUAUAGAACAGGUUGUUUGGCCAGCUUAGCCAAAGUUAGGCUAACUGUAGUUGCUGGGCCAUUCCUGUCUCUCUGUGAAACAUGAGGACAUGCUUGCUUGGGCUUCAAAGAAUGAGAUAAAGGGGGGGCCGUAUUCUUGUACCAAAUAUACUAGGAACGGUUUGUUUGGACAUAUGAAGACUUGCAGUCUCCACUCCCUGUUUCUGUUCUUAACUCCCUCCUUUCGCCUAGUUUCUGGUGCAUGACGAAAAAGCUGAUAAGAAGCUGCUGAGGCAUCAUGAACUGUUUGUACUGUCAAACAUAGAUAUGCAUAAAUAUUAGAAGCUUUUAACUAGUAAAGGGGGGGAUUGGGUUGCUUUAACUAUGACGCGACGGAACGGUCUAUAUAAUCUCACUAGUUAUUGUAAUCGUGGCUGGUUCUCUCUGGAGACGCGCCGCUCUCUAUUGUUGUGUGCACUCUUCAAUAAAGAGCUUGUAUUGGACCUUGCUGGUGUUGCCUGUCUCUCACUCUGCGGUCAGACAACGAACCUUGCCGUCUGGGUUAAAAAGUCCCCGACAAUCUUAACAACCGGAUCCCUACCAGGUCUUCAGCGGCAGGUCCUUCAGUGCCGCCAAAGACUCAGAGCAAGUGAAGGACCCGCCGCCGAAGACUCGGAGCGCUGCCUGCACUUGGGGAUGAAACCCUCAUACACGGGCAAGACUGCAACACCCCUCUCCUAAGCAGGGAUCUCCUAGUGCUAUGCAUAGAUGAUGAACUAACUCUACCCCCAACAUUUGCUGCUCCACACACCUAUCUUCAACCCCACAUUGGUGUCACCUACACUGCUGUGGAUGGCGUGAAACAAUCCUUUAAUGACUCCAUCUGUGUCACCGGGCCCCGGGACUCCUUCUUCUUCAAUGUGAUGGAUGUCGCCCAGAAGAGAGACCCCAAAAGCUUCAUGUACACAUUGAGUGUGUGGGGCGCGUACAUCACCUCCGUGCAGGGGCUGGAGGCCCAUCCCGAAGACAGCACCUACUGGCAGCUCCUGAGCUGUGGCAUCCCAUUGACACUAGGUGCUGGGUGCUACGCCGUCUCCCAUGGGGAGAGGCUGGAGGUCAGGUUCUCCAAGUACAAGCUCCAGGGCACUGGCCAGCCUGAGGACAAGGGGUGCUCAUGAAGGUGAAACUGGCCUUUCUACUGUGAGGGAUGCCAGGGUUCAGCAGCCCCACCCAUUCCCCCAGGCAUCUCCCUCUUGGUGGGAUGGACCCUUGGGGACGACUGUGUGUUGUAUUCACAUCCGUGACUGUUUCCCAAACUCUCCCUGUCUCUGUCCCUCACUCCUGAAAUAAACCCUUUGCAACAGC
Chrysemys picta bellii (western painted turtle) is the source of this 1635-nucleotide non-coding RNA. Lineage: Eukaryota; Metazoa; Chordata; Testudines; Emydidae. The record is from RefSeq and is a predicted model, not a curated record.